Paralichthys olivaceus (Japanese flounder) is the source of this 524-nucleotide non-coding RNA. NCBI's taxonomy places the organism in Eukaryota, Metazoa, Chordata, Actinopteri, Pleuronectiformes, Paralichthyidae. The record is from RefSeq and is a predicted model, not a curated record.
CUGAGCUGUGCGCCUGCGCACUGGGCACACAGCUGAUAACUCAUCUAUUAUGCUACUUGGCUAAAACCGAGCGGAGAGAGAAGCCGCCGCAGCCGCCGCGGGACGCACCGGAGGAGCCGAACUCAAAGUAAAGCCGCUCUCUGACCGGGGCCGGGGGUGAGCAGGCGGGAUAACGGGCCGGAGCGGAGUCCCGGUGUGAGAUGGGAGUUUGUCUCCUCGAGGGAAACAUCAAGCUUAAGGAACGUCCCCAACCAAACCUGAACUGAACACACACCUGUGUGCCCACACACACACACACACACCCACACCCCCCCACACACACACACACACACACACCCUCUCCCUCCCUCAGACCACUGGGGGAAUUGUUUUUUCAUCGUCAGGUCAGACACUGCUGUCCCACGGUGCAUUGUUACGUCAACAUCGUCCACCAUGUCGGACGCCCCCGAGGCUGCGCCACCCAGCCCCCCUACCCUCACCAACCCACCCCCCCCUGAGGUCACAAAUCCCACUAAACCUGGCAG